UACGUAGGGUGCGAGCGUUGUCCGGAUUUAUUGGGCGUAAAGAGCUCGUAGGCGGUUUGUCGCGUCGGCCGUGAAAUCUCCACGCUUAACGUGGAGCGUGCGGUCGAUACGGGCAGGCUAGAGUUCGGCAGGGGAGACUGGAAUUCCUGGUGUAGCGGUGAAAUGCGCAGAUAUCAGGAGGAACACCGGUGGCGAAGGCGGUGGUCUGGGCCGGCACUGACGCUGAGGAGCGAAAGCGUGGGUAGCAAACAGG
Molecule: ribosomal RNA, 253 nt
Filed under: uncultured bacterium
Lineage: Bacteria
Description: partial 16S ribosomal RNA
Rfam family: Bacterial small subunit ribosomal RNA
Source: RNAcentral